Molecule: non-coding RNA, 32 nt
Filed under: Rattus norvegicus (Norway rat)
Lineage: Eukaryota; Metazoa; Chordata; Mammalia; Rodentia; Muridae
Source: RNAcentral
UGGGCUAUGUUAGAUCACCCCUUAGGAGAUGC